GCCUUUAACUCAGUUGGUAGAGCAUGAGACUCUUAAUCUCAUGGUUGUGGGUUCGAGCCCCAUAUUGGGCA
This 71-nucleotide transfer RNA is filed under the name Podarcis lilfordi (Lilford's wall lizard). It matches the Rfam family "tRNA". From Rfam's summary of the family: Transfer RNA (tRNA) molecules are approximately 80 nucleotides in length. Their secondary structure includes four short double-helical elements and three loops (D, anti-codon, and T loops). The record is from Rfam by way of RNAcentral. Lineage: Eukaryota; Metazoa; Chordata; Lepidosauria; Squamata; Lacertidae.